GAUCCUGGCUCAGGAUGAACGCUAGCGACAGGCCUAACACAUGCAAGUCGAGGGGCAGCGAAGAGGUAGCAAUACCUCUGUCGGCGACCGGCGCACGGGUGAGUAACACGUAUGCAAUCCACCUGUAACAGGGGGAUAACCCGGAGAAAUCCGGACUAAUACCCCAUAAUGUGGGCGCUCCGCAUGGAGAGCCCAUUAAAGAGAGCAAUUUUGGUUACAGACGAGCAUGCGCUCCA
Molecule: ribosomal RNA, 236 nt
Filed under: uncultured bacterium
Lineage: Bacteria
Description: partial 16S ribosomal RNA
Rfam family: Bacterial small subunit ribosomal RNA
Source: RNAcentral